This 1035-nucleotide unclassified non-coding RNA is filed under the name Hevea brasiliensis (rubber tree). The record is from RNAcentral. Lineage: Eukaryota; Viridiplantae; Streptophyta; Magnoliopsida; Malpighiales; Euphorbiaceae.
AGCACGCAAGCGCGCGAUUAUGCCAUUUUUAUCUUUUUAAAACCGGUGCUACCAACGAUUUCUUCCACCUGUGCGGAAUUAGAGUAACCAGAUAAAUAAGAUAUUACUAUUAUCCCACAACACGACGUGCUUUACCCACCGUAGCCGGUCCAACCUCUUUCCUCCAUCGACAAAACAACCGGUCCCGCAGGUUACCCCAUUUCCUUGCCCCAGAAUCCCACUAUAAAACUAUAAAGCUUGUUUCUGUAGAAUUCUCCGGGUAGUUAUCAAUCUCAUCAAAACCGUCAUCGUCGUGGUCUCCAAAACCGUUCUCUCGUCUUUGAUCUCUUUCGAUUGUGAUUCUAAAGAUUGAAGACUUGGAGGAUGGCAGCUAAUGAGGAAGGAGAGGAGAAUACUUCUCGUGGAAAUGAGUGGGAAGUUGUAUCACUUACAGCAUCAGCAUACGCUGCUGCUCCUGGUCCAGAAGAAGUUGAACUGAAAGAUGAAAACAAGGAUAAUGCACCCAAAGAGGAAGCAGAAAAUUCUCAUGCUGGCUUGCUGGAAAGACGUCACUUCGUCUUUCCAGCAAGCCAGCAUGAGAAUUUGCCAUUGGAGCCAGAUAAUAGUGAAAUUCUCGAUGAACAAGGCAGGGAGAGUGUUGCAUCUGAACUGGUUGUGGAAGAAGGGGAUAAAUCUGGUGGAAAGGCNNNNNNNNNAAUUUUAAACUUGAGGAGUUUAAUGUAUCUGAAGAGUUUCAUGGAAUACAGUUUUUUGAUGACAAGGAACAGAGUAUAUACGGUACAGAUACUUUUGGUUCUUUCCACAGUGAAACUGGACUUGGUGGAUCAGCUACAUAUGGGGAGAACCUAGUGAUUCCUGAAGUAAAUGAACAGGCUGAAGAGGAAUUGGAUUACUCCACAGACAUUGUUCACUCUCCAAAGUCUGCUAAAGAUGGUAAAUAUGAUGGGUCUGACCUUCCAUGUGAAGCUUGGUGGAAGAGAAGGGCAGCUUCCUUGUAUACUCAUGUAAAAGAGACAAAUGCAUUUUGGUCCAUUU